UAGGGAAUCUUCGGCAACGGACGGAAGUCUGACCGAGCAACGCCGCGUGUGUGAAGAAGGUUUUCGGAUCGUAAAGCUCUGUUGUUAGAGAAGAACGUUGGUAGGAGUGGAAAAUCUACCAAGUGACGGUAACUAACCAGAAAGGGACGGCUAACUACGUGCCAGCAGCCGCGGUAAUACGUAGGUCCCGAGCGUUGUCCGGUUUUAUUGGGCGUAAAGCGAGCGCAGGCGGUUCUUUAAGUCUGAAGUUAAAGGCAGUGGCUUAACCAUUGUACGCUUUGGAAAGUGGAGGACUUGAGUGCAGAGGGGGAGAGUGGAAUUACAUGUGUAGCGGUGAAAUGCGUGUAUAUAUGGAGGAACACCGGUGGCGAAGGCGGCUCUCUGGUCUGUAGCUGACGCUGAGGCUCGAAAGCGUGGGGAGCAAACGGG
This 429-nucleotide ribosomal RNA is filed under the name Bacillota bacterium. Its description in RNAcentral is "Firmicutes bacterium partial 16S ribosomal RNA". It matches the Rfam family "Bacterial small subunit ribosomal RNA", at positions 355 to 776 of the family's 1533-position model. The record is from RNAcentral. Lineage: Bacteria; Bacillati; Bacillota.